Molecule: ribosomal RNA, 465 nt
Filed under: uncultured bacterium
Lineage: Bacteria
Description: partial 16S ribosomal RNA
Rfam family: Bacterial small subunit ribosomal RNA
Source: RNAcentral
GACGAACGCUGGCGGCGUGCUUAACACAUGCAAGUCGAACGGAAAGGCCCUGCUUGCAGGGUCCUCGAGUGGCGAACGGGUGAGUAACACGUGGGUGAUCUGCCCUGCACUUCGGGAUAAGCCUGGGCAACUGGGUCUAAUACCGGAUAGGAGCCAUUUUUAGUGUGAUGGUUGGAAAGUUUUUUCGGUGUAGGAUGAGCUCGCGGCCUAUCAGCUUGUUGGUGGGGUAAUGGCCUACCAAGGCGGCGAGGGGUAGCCGGCCGGAGAGGGUGGACGGCCACAUUGGGACUGAGGUACGGCCCAGACUCCUACGGGAGGCAGCAGUGGGGAAUAUUGAACAAUGGGCGCAAGCCUGAUGCAGCGACGCCGCGUGGGGGAUGACGGCCUUCGGGUUGUAAACUCCUUUCGCUAGGGACGAAGCUUUUUGUGACGGUACCUAGAGAAGAAGCACCGGCUAACUACGUG